This 506-nucleotide ribosomal RNA is filed under the name uncultured bacterium. RNAcentral's name for it is "partial 16S ribosomal RNA". It matches the Rfam family "Bacterial small subunit ribosomal RNA", at positions 29 to 523 of the family's 1533-position model. The record is from RNAcentral.
AUUGAACGCUGGCGGCAGGCCUAACACAUGCAAGUCGGACGGUAGCACAGAGGAGCUUGCUCUUCGGGUGACGAGUGGCGGACGGGUGAGUAAUGUCUGGGAAACUGCCCGAUGGAGGGGGAUAACUACUGGAAACGGUAGCUAAUACCGCAUAACGUCGCAAGACCAAAGUGGGGGACCUUCGGGCCUCACACCAUCGGAUGUGCCCAGAAGGGAUUAGCUGGUAGGCGGGGUAACGGCCCACCUAGGCGACGAUCCCUAGCUGGUCAGAGAGGAUGACCAGCCACACUGGAACUGAGACACGGUCCAGACUCCUACGGGAGGCAGCAGUGGGGAAUAUUGCACAAUGGGCGCAAGCCUGAUGCAGCCAUGCCGCGUGUAUGAAGAAGGCCUUCGGGUUGUAAAGUACUUUCAGCGGGGAGGAAGGUGCUGAGGUUAAUAAGCUCAGCAAUUGACGUUACCCGCAGAAGAAGCACCGGCUAACUCCGUGCCAGCCGCCGCGGUAA